This is a long non-coding RNA of Micropterus salmoides (largemouth bass), 763 nucleotides long. RefSeq lists it as uncharacterized. Lineage: Eukaryota; Metazoa; Chordata; Actinopteri; Centrarchiformes; Centrarchidae. The transcript has 3 exons. The record is from RefSeq and is a predicted model, not a curated record.
GGUCCUAUUAGCUGACUGAGCCCAUACUGGAGGCAGGCGAGCAUGCAAUGGAACCGGGCUCAGCAGCAGACUUUAUAGGGAUUACGGCCGGGCCAAACAGCCUCAGAGACAGACAGAGUCCAGUUUGACAAGUGGCCAGUUUGACAAAUACAGUGGCUCCAACCAAGACUCUUGACUCUGGGCGGGAACAGGAGAGGAGUGAGAGGGUGCCCGGACAUCAGAAAGGCAGCCACAGUUUAUUUCGACCAAACCAGAGAUGGUGAUUGUUGGAACACUGGAAAGACUAACCAAGAAGCUUUUGGGAAAGUGCGAUGUUGUGGUGAGUUGCUGAAGGUCCCGGCCCUCUUUCACAAUGACCUGCUGUUCCAGGGGGUUCCGUACUAAGGUCUGCAAACAUAGAAUUUCCCUCGUUGCAUAACAAUUUCCUCUGGGGAAAUGAAAGUUUACAGCCCUGAAAUGCAUCAAGUUCAACUGCGUGUUCCCCCUCCCCCUGAGGACCUCCCCUUUCUCCCGCUGCGCCAAGACCACCUUUCCACAUCGCACGAGACUUUCAAGCCUCUCUCUCUGUUUAUUUUCACUUGACUUACUUUGUCAUCCUCUCCUUUCUGGUUGUCUCACUCCAUCCUCCCCUGCAGUGCUCUUCACAGCCAGUGACUUUGACCUUGUCUACACAUCCUGUUUACAAUAUGGGACACAUGUUUUUUGUGUUCAUGCCCCCACACAAUGCAAAUAUAACACUGCUGUUCUAAAACAUUGCCAUGAA